UUCCUGUGGAGUGUCAAAAUUGGCUUAAAGGUUUCACUGUUUUGCCAUACAUCGCAACUGAAGGCUAUAGAUUAAAUUAGGACAGCGAAACGGACAUGCAAUCAACAAGUUAUCAAUGCAUCUUGACCCUGAAUUUCACAUCUGGAGUUAUAGCUACAGCUGUCUUGAAUGCGGCCAAAAACGAGAGAGAGGGAGAGUGUGUUCUGCUCCAACUGCUGUCCCUUCUAUGCCAGCCACCAUCUAGAUUCUUUUCACCACUGUAUAUGUUUGAGAGGAGAGGCAAAAACAAAGAGAAACGGAGAGGAAAUAUGAGUUUUUGAGUCUGUGAACAGUGCAUCAUCAAAUCUUGAUCUGGAGCUCAUUUGCUGUCCGAUUGUUCUGAUUUUUGGAUAUGUUGUUCAUGAGACUCAAUUCUACUUUCUGAAUGGUGGAGAUUGAAAUCCAAGCACUGUAAGGCAAUUAAUUGUGGGUAAACCCCAAACUGCAGUUUUUGUGUCUUUUGGGAUUAUUCUCUCCAUAAAUUGUGAUAUUUUGAACCUGUUUUUGCUGAGAUUGUUGGUGAUGGAUUUGUGAAGUUUAUGAUGUUUGUAUGCUUCUAGUUUGCACUAGAGAAGACUUUGUAUUCCCAUUUUUGAUGAUAGUGAAAGACUUUAAUCGGGUUAGGGUCCCGUGGUUUUUACUCCUCACAUUGGGGAGGUUUUCCACGUAAAAAUUUGGGUGUCAUUGAUCUUUAAUUUUCUGCAAAUAUUUGUAGCUUUUGAUUAUAUUCACUUGAGAAAG
Pistacia vera is the source of this 780-nucleotide long non-coding RNA. RefSeq lists it as uncharacterized. Lineage: Eukaryota; Viridiplantae; Streptophyta; Magnoliopsida; Sapindales; Anacardiaceae. The record is from RefSeq and is a predicted model, not a curated record. The transcript has 3 exons.